Tribolium castaneum (red flour beetle) is the source of this 569-nucleotide RNA transcript. RefSeq lists it as uncharacterized. The record is from RefSeq and is a predicted model, not a curated record. The transcript is spliced from 3 exons. NCBI's taxonomy places the organism in Eukaryota, Metazoa, Arthropoda, Insecta, Coleoptera, Tenebrionidae.
UUGUCAGAAAAUUGAGCAAAACUGUGAACUUGUGGUUAAAGGAAACAGAUAACAAAUCAAACUCGACAACUUAUCUGUAUUGAAUCUAUUGACACUGAUAAGAAAUCACAAAGUAACACCCAAAUUAUUUCACGUUAAAAUGGGCGUUUUAGCAUCGACUGUUCGAUGCAUGUCACUAAUUUUUAAUGUUUUCCUUGGGUUUCUUUCGAUUCUUGUCACAGGAUAUGGAAUUAUUUUAAUAAAUAACGAACACAAAGCUCGUCCUGUCGGCCCAGCUUCACUUGGAGGUCGAUUCAGUGCGUUCGGAGUAGUGACAUUUCUCGUAUCGUUCUUCGGCUGUUGUGGAUCCAUUAAAGACAACAUAAAAUUUCUGUCGUGUUGUUGUUUGUACGCCUGCUUCGUUGUGCUAGCGUGGGAGCAGUUUCGAUAAGAUUAUUUAAUUUGCUUGGAGAUUUAUUCGGAAUGUGGAAGACCACAGUGAAAUUUAUGUAUAUUGCGUCUCGCUGAUACUAUAAAAUACGUCCUCCUGUAUCUAUUAAUGUUGCAAUAAAAACCGAAAGUUAAAUUAA